GGCGGUAAAUUCCGUCCA
This 18-nucleotide small nuclear RNA is filed under the name Arabidopsis thaliana (thale cress). RNAcentral describes it as "snRNA_09260". Lineage: Eukaryota; Viridiplantae; Streptophyta; Magnoliopsida; Brassicales; Brassicaceae. The record is from RNAcentral.